UCAGCGCCGCGCUGCUGCUCCGCGGAGAGUCCCAGCCCCUUCUCUGUCACCCCCUGAAAGUUCAUUAUUCAAACGCCCGCAGACGCAUCAAGUAUUCGCAGCUCAGACUUAACCCUCGCCCCCCCCUCGCAGCCUCCCACGCUGUGAAAAACAGAGAGGCUCUACAGCAGGACUCUCGUCAACACCGAAAAUCCUGAUCCUGUUAAUCCCUGGCAUAAACCAGAGAUUCCUAGGACUAAAAUCACUUACGUGGCAUCUUCCCAUUGCAAGUGUCAAACAGUGCAGCUACAAUGGCACAUAACAUCACCUGCUAACUCCCUCCUUCCUGUAUCAGCAAUAAGGAAAUGAUAGGUAGCUAAACCAAUUCCAAAAUAUUUUGUGAAAUUACAAAUAAAACAAGGUAGCCAACGAAAUUGCUCGCUCCAUCUCGCAAUUGCUCUACUGCAACACAAUGAAAUAACAGAAACCAAAGGUCUAGGCUAGUUUUCAGGCAGCAAAGCUGAAUCAACUAGGGCCAAGCACACCAAGAGAGAAAACUGUGGCUCCUCUACUUUGUUCUUCUCUUCUUCCAUCAGCUGGGGCACCCACCAGACUCUUCCCUCAACUGAUCCAAUUCACCAGCUGAUCAGCAGAUCAACUAGGGGCCAGCGGACUUCUUUUCCCCAGCUCGUUUUCUGCCGGCUUAAUGAUUUGAGUCACCUCAGAAGAAGUCCAGUAUAUACCCAACGCACCACAACACGAGGGUGAAGGCUCAGGGAGGCAGAAACGAUCUCCUGUUUUGGCAUACGUGCUACUGAAGGGUUCAUCCUAUCCUGCAAAACAGCAGCCUGAUGAUUUCACACAAGCAAUACCACUAAAACCCUUUAACAAAUUGAUCAAGUUCCAUCUUGAGAGCAGAGCUGAGAAACUAUUCCCACUGAAAGUCCUCAACCAUUCCAAGAAGAAAACUUCUAACUUCCAACUCCAUUUAUUCAAGGACAGCUUGCACACAGUUACUGCUGUAGCACCAUCAUUGUUAACCAUCUUAGUGAAGCCUUCUGGUGAUCACCCUUCAAUGUACUUACAGGUAAAACUGACAGUUUCAGCCACGCUUUAAACUCAGCCCUCAGACAGUGACCCUUUCUACUCUGACCAAGUUAAACAUCCUCUUGCGUAUCCACUAAAGAUCACAUUCACCUUUCCUGCACGUGUCUCUGCAGAAUUUAAUCCAUGAGAUAAAGUGAUGCCACUGAUGCAUAUAAUAACAA
This is a long non-coding RNA of Tyto alba (common barn owl), 1247 nucleotides long. RefSeq lists it as uncharacterized. NCBI's taxonomy places the organism in Eukaryota, Metazoa, Chordata, Aves, Strigiformes, Tytonidae. The record is from RefSeq and is a predicted model, not a curated record. The transcript is spliced from 3 exons.